GGAGCGGUUGUACCGUCGAUGGUUAUGUUGACGUGUUACGCCGAGGGUCGCGGGUUCGAGCCCGGUCCGCUCCGCCA
RNAcentral lists this transfer RNA (77 nucleotides) under Pseudomonas sp. Its description in RNAcentral is "tRNA-Asn". RNAcentral also lists the same sequence under 1 other name. The record is from RNAcentral. Lineage: Bacteria; Pseudomonadati; Pseudomonadota; Gammaproteobacteria; Pseudomonadales; Pseudomonadaceae.